AUGAAUUGCUUCAGAAAUGCAAUAUGUCUGCAUGGAAAACUGUUUGUAUAUUUGUCUUUAUACAUGUUGUGGUGAUAGAGACUAAAGUUAAACGACGUCUUUAUUCCUCGAAGUCUUGUGAUGAUGUAGCUAUAAUAGGAGCUGGUAUUGCUGGAACAUACGCUGGAUGGAGAUUAAGAAAACUACAUAAGCAAAUUACUGUGUACGAAUACUCAAAUAGAGUAGGUGGGAGAUGUUACACGACAAAAUUUCCAGAUAUUCCGGACAUUAAUGUUGAGCUCGGUGCUAUGAGGUUCAAUGCUAAAU
Long non-coding RNA from Mytilus californianus (California mussel), 306 nucleotides. RefSeq lists it as uncharacterized. The record is from RefSeq and is a predicted model, not a curated record. Lineage: Eukaryota; Metazoa; Mollusca; Bivalvia; Mytilida; Mytilidae. The transcript is spliced from 2 exons.